RNAcentral lists this ribosomal RNA (2900 nucleotides) under Streptococcus pneumoniae. Its description in RNAcentral is "23S ribosomal RNA". It matches the Rfam family "Bacterial large subunit ribosomal RNA". The record is from RNAcentral. Lineage: Bacteria; Bacillati; Bacillota; Bacilli; Lactobacillales; Streptococcaceae.
UUAAGUUAAUAAGGGCGCACGGUGGAUGCCUUGGCACUAGGAGCCGACGAAGGACGUGACAAACGACGAUAUGCCUUGGGUAGCUGUAAGUAAGCGAUGAUCCAGGGAUUUCCGAAUGGGGGAACCCAACAGGUAAUACCUGUUACCUACAUCUGUUAAGGAUGUGAGGAGGAAGACGCAGUGAACUGAAACAUCUAAGUAGCUGCAGGAAGAGAAAGCAAAAGCGAUUGCCUUAGUAGCGGCGAGCGAAACGGCAGAAGGGCAAACCGAAGAGUUUACUCUUCGGGGUUGUAGGACUGCAAUGUGGACUCAAAGAUUAUAGAAGAAUGAUUUGGGAAGAUCAGCCAAAGAGAGUAAUAGCCUCGUAUUUAAAAUAGUCUUUGUACUUAGCAGUAUCCUGAGUACGGCGGGACACGUGAAAUCCCGUCGGAAUCUGGGAGGACCAUCUCCCAACCCUAAAUACUCCCUAGUGACCGAUAGUGAACCAGUACCGUGAGGGAAAGGUGAAAAGCACCCCGGGAGGGGAGUGAAAUAGAACCUGAAACCGUGUGCCUACAACAAGUUCGAGCUCGUUAAUGGGUGAGAGCGUGCCUUUUGUAGAAUGAACCGGCGAGUUACGUUAUGAUGCGAGGUUAAGUUGAAGAGACGGAGCCGUAGGGAAACCGAGUCUGAAUAGGGCGCCUUAGUAUCAUGACGUAGACCCGAAACCAUGUGACCUACCCAUGAGCAGGUUGAAGGUGCGGUAAGACGCACUGGAGGACCGAACCAGGGCACGUUGAAAAGUGCUUGGAUGACUUGUGGGUAGCGGAGAAAUUCCAAACGAACUUGGAGAUAGCUGGUUCUCUCCGAAAUAGCUUUAGGGCUAGCGUCGACAUUAGAGAUUCUUGGAGGUAGAGCACUGUUUGGGUGAGGGGUCCAUCCCGGAUUACCAAUCUCAGAUAAACUCCGAAUGCCAAUGAAUUAUGGUCGGCAGUCAGACUGCGAGUGCUAAGAUCCGUAGUCGAAAGGGAAACAGCCCAGACCACCAGCUAAGGUCCCAAAAUAAUUGUUAAGUGGAAAAGGAUGUGGGGUUGCACAGACAACUAGGAUGUUAGCUUAGAAGCAGCUAUUCAUUCAAAGAGUGCGUAAUAGCUCACUAGUCGAGUGACCCUGCGCCGAAAAUGUACCGGGGCUAAAACAAUUUACCGAAGCUGUGGAUACCUUUAUAGGUAUGGUAGGAGAGCGUUCUAUGUGUGAUGAAGGUAUACCGUGAGGAGUGCUGGAACGCAUAGAAGUGAGAAUGCCGGUAUGAGUAGCGAAAGACAGGUGAGAAUCCUGUCCACCGUAAGACUAAGGUUUCCAGGGGAAGGCUCGUCCGCCCUGGGUUAGUCGGGACCUAAGGAGAGACCGAAAGGUGUAUCCGAUGGACAACAGGUUGAUAUUCCUGUACUAGAGUAUGUAGUGAUGGAGGGACGCAGUAGGCUAACUAAAGCAGACGAUUGGAAGAGUCUGUCUAAGCAGUGAGGUGUGAAUUGAGUCAAAUGCUUAAUUCUAUAACAUUGAGCUGUGAUGGGGAGCGAAGUUUAGUAGCGAAGUUAGUGACGUCACACUGCCAAGAAAAGCUUCUAGCGUUUAAACAUACUCUACCCGUACCGCAAACCGACACAGGUAGUCGAGGCGAGUAGCCUCAGGUGAGCGAGAGAACUCUCGUUAAGGAACUCGGCAAAAUGACCCCGUAACUUCGGGAGAAGGGGUGCUGACUUAAAGUCAGCCGCAGUGAAUAGGCCCAAGCAACUGUUUAUCAAAAACACAGCUCUCUGCUAAAUCGUAAGAUGAUGUAUAGGGGGUGACGCCUGCCCGGUGCUGGAAGGUUAAGAGGAGUGCUUAGCGUAAGCGAAGGUAUGAAUUGAAGCCCCAGUAAACGGCGGCCGUAACUAUAACGGUCCUAAGGUAGCGAAAUUCCUUGUCGGGUAAGUUCCGACCCGCACGAAAGGCGUAAUGAUUUGGGCACUGUCUCAACGAGAGACUCGGUGAAAUUUUAGUACCUGUGAAGAUGCAGGUUACCCGCGACAGGACGGAAAGACCCCAUGGAGCUUUACUGCAGUUUGAUAUUGAGUGUCUGUACCACAUGUACAGGAUAGGUAGGAGUCUAAGAGAUCGGGACGCCAGUUUCGAAGGAGACGCUGUUGGGAUACUACCCUUGUGUUAUGGCCACUCUAACCCAGAUAGGUGAUCCCUAUCGGAGACAGUGUCUGACGGGCAGUUUGACUGGGGCGGUCGCCUCCUAAAAGGUAACGGAGGCGCCCAAAGGUUCCCUCAGAAUGGUUGGAAAUCAUUCGCAGAGUGUAAAGGUAUAAGGGAGCUUGACUGCGAGAGCUACAACUCGAGCAGGGACGAAAGUCGGGCUUAGUGAUCCGGUGGUUCCGUAUGGAAGGGCCAUCGCUCAACGGAUAAAAGCUACCCUGGGGAUAACAGGCUUAUCUCCCCCAAGAGUUCACAUCGACGGGGAGGUUUGGCACCUCGAUGUCGGCUCGUCGCAUCCUGGGGCUGUAGUCGGUCCCAAGGGUUGGGCUGUUCGCCCAUUAAAGCGGCACGCGAGCUGGGUUCAGAACGUCGUGAGACAGUUCGGUCCCUAUCCGUCGCGGGCGUAGGAAAUUUGAGAGGAUCUGCUCCUAGUACGAGAGGACCAGAGUGGACUUACCGCUGGUGUACCAGUUGUCUUGCCAAAGGCAUCGCUGGGUAGCUAUGUAGGGAAGGGAUAAACGCUGAAAGCAUCUAAGUGUGAAACCCACCUCAAGAUGAGAUUUCCCAUGAUUAUAUAUCAGUAAGAGCCCUGAGAGAUGAUCAGGUAGAUAGGUUAGAAGUGGAAGUGUGGCGACACAUGUAGCGGACUAAUACUAAUAGCUCGAGGACUUAUCCAA